Molecule: ribosomal RNA, 94 nt
Filed under: Leeia speluncae
Lineage: Bacteria; Pseudomonadati; Pseudomonadota; Betaproteobacteria; Neisseriales; Leeiaceae
Source: RNAcentral
CUUGGUGGCCAUAGCACGUUGGACCCACGCCUUCCCAUUUCGAACAGGACCGUGAAACGACGUAGCGCCGAUGAUAGUGAGCAUUGCGCUUGUG